Molecule: ribosomal RNA, 503 nt
Filed under: uncultured bacterium
Lineage: Bacteria
Description: partial 16S ribosomal RNA
Rfam family: Bacterial small subunit ribosomal RNA
Source: RNAcentral
AUUGAACGCUGGCGGCAGGCUUAACACAUGCAAGUCGAGCGGGGUGAUGGUGCUUGCACUAUCACUUAGCGGCGGACGGGUGAGUAAUGCUUAGGAAUCUGCCUAUUAGUGGGGGACAACAUCUCGAAAGGGAUGCUAAUACCGCAUACGUCCUACGGGAGAAAGCAGGGGAUCACUUGUGACCUUGCGCUAAUAGAUGAGCCUAGGUCGGAUUAGCUAGUUGGUGGGGUAAAGGCCUACCAAGGCGACGAUCUGUAGCGGGUCUGAGAGGAUGGACCGCCACACUGGGACUGAGACACGGCCCAGAAUCCUACGGGAGGCAGCAGUGGGGAAUAUUGGACAAUGGGGGGAACCCUGAUCCAGCCAUGCCGCGUGUGUGAAGAAGGCCUUAUGGUUGUAAAGCACUUUAAGCGAGGAGGAGGCUCUUUUGGUUAAUACCCAAGAUGAGUGGACGUUACUCGCAGAAUAAGCACCGGCUAACUCUGUGCCAGCCGCCGCAGUAA